AGAGUGAACGCUGGCGGCAGGCCUAACACAUGCAAGUCGAACGGCAGCACAGAGGAGCUUGCUCCUUGGGUGGCGAGUGGCGGACGGGUGAGGAAUACGUCGGAAUCUGCCUAUUUGUGGGGGAUAACGUAGGGAAACUUACGCUAAUACCGCAUACGACCUACGGGUGAAAGCGGAGGACCUUCGGGCUUCGCGCAGAUAGAUGAGCCGACGUCGGAUUAGCUAGUUGGCGGGUAAAGGCCCACCAAGGCGACGAUCCGUAGCUGGUCUGAGAGGAUGAUCAGCCACACUGGAACUGAGACACGGUCCAGACUCCUACGGGAGGCAGCAGUGGGGGAAUUUGGACAAUGGGGGCACCCUGAUCCAGCCAUGCCGCGUG
RNAcentral lists this ribosomal RNA (379 nucleotides) under uncultured soil bacterium. Its description in RNAcentral is "bacterial SSU rRNA". It matches the Rfam family "Bacterial small subunit ribosomal RNA", at positions 26 to 403 of the family's 1533-position model. The record is from RNAcentral.